CAAAAACAUCGCCUUUUGUCUAACUAUAAAAGGUCAAGCCUGCCCAGUGACAUUGUUCAACGGCCGCGGUAUUCUAACCGUGCGAAGGUAGCGUAAUCACUUGUUUUUUAAAUGAGGACUAGUAUGAAUGGCUUCACGAAGGCUAUACUGUCUCCCUUAUCCAAUCAGUUAAACUAAUCUUCCCGUGAAGAAGCGGGAAUAAACCUAUAAGACGAGAAGACCCUAUGGAGCUUUAAACACUUUUAAACAUUUGACAUUUAACAUUUCAACUUUCAGAAAACUUUACUAAACCAAUCGAUUUGUUUUAAGUUUUAGGUUGGGGUGACCACGGAGAACAACAAAACCUCCACGUAGAAAGAACCUUUCUCUAAGCAAAAAGCCACAUCUUUACGCAUCAAUAAUACUGACCUUAAUUGACCCAAUUCUUUGAUCAAC
Molecule: ribosomal RNA, 435 nt
Filed under: Allobates granti group sp. ABGD cluster 16
Lineage: Eukaryota; Metazoa; Chordata; Amphibia; Anura; Aromobatidae
Description: partial large subunit ribosomal RNA
Rfam family: Bacterial large subunit ribosomal RNA
Source: RNAcentral